Molecule: ribosomal RNA, 526 nt
Filed under: uncultured bacterium
Lineage: Bacteria
Description: bacterial SSU rRNA
Rfam family: Bacterial small subunit ribosomal RNA
Source: RNAcentral
AAUAGAUACCCUGGUAGUCCACGCCGUAAACGAUGAGUGCUAAGUGUUAGAGGGUUUCCGCCCUUUAGUGCUGCAGCUAACGCAUUAAGCACUCCGCCUGGGGAGUACGGUCGCAAGACUGAAACUCAAAGGAAUUGACGGGGGCCCGCACAAGCGGUGGAGCAUGUGGUUUAAUUCGAAGCAACGCGAAGAACCUUACCAGGUCUUGACAUCCUCUGACAACUCUAGAGAUAGAGCGUUCCCCUUCGGGGGACAGAGUGACAGGUGGUGCAUGGUUGUCGUCAGCUCGUGUCGUGAGAUGUUGGGUUAAGUCCCGCAACGAGCGCAACCCUUGAUCUUAGUUGCCAGCAUUCAGUUGGGCACUCUAAGGUGACUGCCGGUGACAAACCGGAGGAAGGUGGGGAUGACGUCAAAUCAUCAUGCCCCUUAUGACCUGGGCUACACACGUGCUACAAUGGAUGGUACAAAGGGCUGCAAGACCGCGAGGUCAAGCCAAUCCCAUAAAACCAUUCUCAAUUCGGAUUGU